This 338-nucleotide long non-coding RNA is filed under the name Gossypium barbadense (sea-island cotton). Its description in RNAcentral is "long non-coding RNA (GBAR_LNC017586)". The record is from RNAcentral. Lineage: Eukaryota; Viridiplantae; Streptophyta; Magnoliopsida; Malvales; Malvaceae.
UGAAACGGUCAUAACUUGAGCUUUCGGACUCUAAAUCGAGUUAUUCGAAGUGCAUUUUGAAGCUAAUAGAUAGCUCUUUGAUCUAUAUGAAGACAUUUCAACCCAAAAAUAUCUGGAUCCCAUCCAAAAACUCUUUGCAAAUCAAUUAAUCUUUUGGGCUUGAAAAACAACAACUUUGGUGAAUUUAAGUUAAUAAAAUUUACUCCAUCCACGCAUUUAUCACAUCCAAAAUUGGGCUUCAAUUUUCAUGAUCUUUUAGGCUUCUAAAAUGGGCCUUGUAAAAAGUUAAGUCAAACAUGUUCUUGGGUUGGAAUUUAGGCCCUAGACUCGUAUCUUAC